Transfer RNA from Thermosphaera aggregans DSM 11486, 101 nucleotides. It matches the Rfam family "tRNA". Rfam says of the family: Transfer RNA (tRNA) molecules are approximately 80 nucleotides in length. NCBI's taxonomy places the organism in Archaea, Thermoproteati, Thermoproteota, Thermoprotei, Desulfurococcales, Desulfurococcaceae. The record is from Rfam.
GCGGGGGUGCCCGAGCUUGGCCAAAGGGGGCGGACUCAAGACUUGCCCAGGGAGAGAUCCGCUGGCGUAGGCCUGCGUGGGUUCAAAUCCCACCCCCCGCA